Long non-coding RNA from Homo sapiens (human), 872 nucleotides. RefSeq lists it as uncharacterized. NCBI's taxonomy places the organism in Eukaryota, Metazoa, Chordata, Mammalia, Primates, Hominidae. The transcript has 4 exons. The record is from RefSeq and is a predicted model, not a curated record.
GUCCAGCUGCCUGGGAGAGGCAGGGUACCACAGAGGAGCUGGCAUCCCGAGAAAGGAUGCCACCACCAGCUGGUCCCUUCCAGAGCUCUGUCUGAACUCCACCAGCCUUGCUUCUGGCCUCAUCCUGCAGACCCAGGGGACACCUCCACUUGCAAGUUCAGUCCAUGGGCACUGCACACUCUCUCGGCCCCAAGUUGAACCCCUUUUCCUCACCCAACAUCCUCCAUUUCAACAAAUGGCAGCGUUGUGGGUAAAAUAACACCUCCUUCAGAGACAUUGACAUCCUCAUCCCUGACUUCGGCUGCAGCUCAGUGGUGCAAUCUCAGCUCAUUGCAACUUCCACCUCCCAGGAUGAAGCAAUCCUCCCACCUCAGCCUCUCCAGUAGCUGAGACUUCAAGCUCCCUCCAGCAGCCGAGCUGAUUUUUGUAUUUUUUUAUAGAGAUGGGGUUUCACCAUGUUGCCCAGGCUGGUGUCAAAUCCCUGGGCUCAAGUAAUCUGCCCACCUCGACCUCCCAAAGUGCUGGGAUUGCCUGCGUGAGCCCCAUCCCCGGCCUGCUCAUUUCCUUCUAGUGCUGAAGAAUAUUCCGAUGUCUGGAUAGACCACAGUUUGUCUGUCCACUCACCUCUAGGCAGACAUCUUGGUUGCUUCCAGUUUUUAGUGACGGUGAAUAAAACUGCUCUAAACAUUCGUGUGCAGGUGUUGGUGUGAACAUAAGUUUUCAACUCAUUUAUCGAGUGGCUGCACCGUUUUGCAGUUCCGCCAGCAACGCAUGAGACUUCCUGUUGCCGCACGCCCACCCCGGCAUUUGGCGUUGUCAGUGUUUUGGAUUUUGGCCAUUCUUACAGGUAUGUGGUGGUGUCUCACUGUUGU